RNAcentral lists this small nuclear RNA (23 nucleotides) under Arabidopsis thaliana (thale cress). RNAcentral describes it as "snRNA_08878". The record is from RNAcentral. Lineage: Eukaryota; Viridiplantae; Streptophyta; Magnoliopsida; Brassicales; Brassicaceae.
UGGCUCAGAUACGUUAUAGAAAA